AACGAACGCUGGCGGCAUGCCUAACACAUGCAAGUCGAACGAGACCUUCGGGUCUAGUGGCGCACGGGUGCGUAACGCGUGGGAACCUGCCCUUAGGUUCGGAAUAACUCCCCGAAAGGGGUGCUAAUACCGGAUAAUGUCUUCGGACCAAAGAUUUAUCGCCUUUGGAUGGGCCCGCGUUGGAUUAGCUAGUUGGUAGGGUAAAAGCCUACCAAGGCGACGAACCAUAGCUGGUCUGAGAGGAUGAUCAGCCACACUGGGACUGAGACACGGCCCAGACUCCUACGGGGGGCAGCAGUGGGGAAUAUUGGACAAUGGGCGAAAGCCUGAUCCAGCAAUGCCGCGUGAGUGAUGAAGGCCUUAGGGUUGUAAAGCUCUUUUACCCGGGAUGAUAAUGACAGUACCGGGAGAAUAAGCUCCGGCUAACUCCGUG
Molecule: ribosomal RNA, 433 nt
Filed under: uncultured bacterium
Lineage: Bacteria
Description: partial 16S ribosomal RNA
Rfam family: Bacterial small subunit ribosomal RNA
Source: RNAcentral